CUUUGUCACUGUUUCCACGACAGAACACUUGGAUGUCAACAAUAUUCAAACUCUUUUCCAAAUCCUUUUCAUCUUGUCUUCAUGCUUCGCAAAUAGUGGACAUCUAAAUCUGACAUCCUAUUUCAAGCCCAUGAUCCAUUCAGAGCAUGAAGAUACGGAAGAAUGGUGCAAGGGGCAAAUCUUGAAGGGAGUUGGACUCCACACUUCAGUAAGUGUUCUCUAUUUGGAUACCUGUGACCUUACUCUUUGCUAGAGAAGAUAUAGC
Molecule: long non-coding RNA, 265 nt
Organism: Pezoporus occidentalis (night parrot)
Lineage: Eukaryota; Metazoa; Chordata; Aves; Psittaciformes; Psittacidae
Exons: 3
Source: RefSeq, a predicted model, not a curated record